AGAAUGCUAGCAUGCCAGUGUCCCAUCGUUAACGGGUGGAGGAGAAGAGCAGGCGGAGGAGGAGAACGAUUUCUAUGGGAUUCUCAAAGUAAAUGGGCAAUUUUCAUGCACAUGGAGAAUCUACUUCUGCAGACUGAGUUCAGGCCAGACCUGCUCUGUCAAAGCCCGACAGAGAGACCCGAGAUGCCACAGAAAAUGGCUGAAACAUUUGGGAUUCUGGAAGGGACAGGCAGAGCGAAUGAGAGCUGUGGAAAUGAUAACCCCUCCAUGGGUCCAGACUUCACUGUCUAAAAGGUCACUCUAGACCCCCAGCUCAGGGUGAUGCCUGCUGCCUUUGAUCAGAGCCCUCCUGUCAUUGACUGUGACUCAGAUCUGCCCUCUCCACUCCAUCCUCAACCCCAAGAGUCUUCACACCAAUCUGCACCCCAGCUCCAAGCACAAGGCAUUACAAGAAGGUCCAGUGGUUCCUACUUUAGACUACACAACAAAAGAAAUGAAAACCCAGCCCACCGAGGCUUGGCCCCUGUGGGGAUUUCCUUCCCCUGCUCCAUCAGCCAGACAAGGCACCUGCAUCGUGGGUCCUUCAUUCCAUGUGAAUGGAAACCCCGGUCCCUGGCAGAAGUAUUCAUGCUUUGGUUGCAUUUAAAUUGCUGUUCUCUGGGCCAUUUUCAUCCCCUUCUUUUCCAGCCUCCAGCCUCUCAUUUCUGGGGCUCCCAGCCCUCCCUCUCUAAUGCACCCUUUUGUGUUGCUGCAAAUUGCCUUCAGUUCCAUCAAAGCAGACUGCCAGCUUUC
Molecule: unclassified non-coding RNA, 792 nt
Filed under: Homo sapiens (human)
Lineage: Eukaryota; Metazoa; Chordata; Mammalia; Primates; Hominidae
Description: novel transcript (ENSG00000280892.1)
Source: RNAcentral